GGAAAACUGGCUGUGCAGAGAUCAUAUGGGAUGCAGCAGGAAGAUGUUGUCUAUGACGUCAGAGCCCUCACCAGACACUUAAUUUGAUGGCAACUUGAUCUUGGACUUCUCAGUCUCCAGAACUGUGAGCAAUAAAUUUCUGUUAUUUAUAAGUUAUCCAGUCUGAGGAAUUUUGGUAUAGCAGCCCAAAUGGACUAAGACAGUAGUAAAAUGUACCUAUGUUUUAUUUUAUAGCUUUGGAUUUUCUAUCCUGGAUUACAACAUUUUUCUGCCCUUGGCUUAUACAUAUUGUCUUCAGGAUAGUCUCUAAAUGUUUUAUUGCUUCAUUAUUUUACAUGUAAAUCUUUAGUCUACUUGGGAAAUAAUUUCAUAUAUUGUAGAAAAUCAUGUCCAAUAUAAUUAUUUUCCAUAUGAGUAGCGAGUGCCCCGACAUCAUAUAUUGAAAAGUGUAUUCUCUUACUUUGGGAGGCCGAAGCAGGCGGAUCCCUUGUGUCAGGAAUUUGAGACCAGCCUGACUAACAUGGUGAAACCCCAUCUCUAUUAAAAAAAAAUACAAAAAUUAGCUGGGUGUGGUGGUGGACACCUGUAAUCUCAGAUACUCAGGAGGCUGAGGCAGGAGAAUUGCUUGACCCUGGGAGGUGGAGGUUGCAGUGAGCAGAGAUCACACCACUGCACUCCGGCCUGGGCGACAGAGCGAGACUCCAUAGGCAACAACAACAACAACAAAAAGUGUAUUCUCUUCCAGCUGAACUGAAAUACCAAACAAAUGUUUAUAUGUAUCAGUAUAUAUUUGUGGAUUUUCUAUUCAGUUCUCUUAAUCUCACUGUCUCUUCUGGCUAAUGACCUAUUGGUUCAAUUACAAUAGUUUUAGAAUAGUUUGAAUCCUGGCAUGACGAAUGUCUUGCCAUUCUUUCUUUCUAUUUACUAAAUACUGUUUGGCUAUUAUCUAAAAGUUAUUUCUUUUUAUGAAAACUUUAAAUGCCACUUUAUGUAAUCAUAAAAAGCACUCUCUUGGGCUUUAACCAAAAUAUUCUUAUAUUUGUUAAUUUAGAAAGAUUUUAUAUUUUGUGAUCUCAAGUCUGCUAUCCAAAGAAAUGGCAUGCCUUUGGCUGGGAGUGGUGGCUCAUGCUGUAAUCCCAGCACUUUGGCUCACACCUGUAAUCCCAGCACUUUGGGAGGUCAACGUGGGUGGAUCAACUGACGUCAGGAGUUCAAGACCAGCCUGGCCAACCUGGUGAAACUUCGUUGAUAAGAAGGAGAUUACUGCUGCCCACGGGGAAAAAGGAGAACAGAAAUGGGAAAGCCGUAUUGAGAGGAUGUUUGAGAACUGUGAAAGACAGAAAGCAGA
This 1348-nucleotide long non-coding RNA is filed under the name Homo sapiens (human). RNAcentral's name for it is "long non-coding RNA NONHSAT171894.1". The record is from RNAcentral. Lineage: Eukaryota; Metazoa; Chordata; Mammalia; Primates; Hominidae.